Molecule: transfer RNA, 70 nt
Filed under: Marmota monax (woodchuck)
Lineage: Eukaryota; Metazoa; Chordata; Mammalia; Rodentia; Sciuridae
Description: tRNA.Ala
Source: RNAcentral
GAGGUUGUGGCUCAGUGGUAGAGCGCUGCCUAGCAUGCAUGAGGCACUGGGUUCGAGCCGCAGCACCACA